CAAUAGCGUAUAUUAAAGUUGUUGCAGUUAAAAAGCUCGUAGUUGGAUUUCUGGUAGGAGUGACAGUUCCGAACUUGAUUGUUCGUGUAUUGUGUUUUCUCCAGCCAUCCUUGUGGAGAACUUUUCUUGCAUUAAUUUGUAGGGAUUGGGACCCGCAUCGUUUACUGUGAAAAAAUUAGAGUGUUUAAAGCAGGCAAUCGCUUGAAUACAUUAGCAUGGAAUAAUAAGAUAGGACUUUGGUACUAUUUUGUUGGUUUGCAUACCAAAUUAAUGAUCAACAGGAACAGUUUGAGGAUAUUCGUAUGAACAUGUCAGAGGUGAAAUUCUUGGAUUUUGAUCAGACGAACUACUGCGAAAGCAUUUAUCAAGGAUGUUUUCAUUAA
RNAcentral lists this ribosomal RNA (383 nucleotides) under uncultured eukaryote. RNAcentral's name for it is "partial 18S ribosomal RNA". It matches the Rfam family "Eukaryotic small subunit ribosomal RNA", at positions 592 to 976 of the family's 1831-position model. The record is from RNAcentral.